CGGGACAUAGCGCAGCUGGUAGCGUACUUGAAUGGGGUUCAAGAGGUCGUGGGUUCGAAUCCCGCUGUCCCGA
RNAcentral lists this transfer RNA (73 nucleotides) under Fibrobacterota bacterium. RNAcentral's name for it is "Fibrobacteres bacterium tRNA-Pro". It matches the Rfam family "tRNA". Rfam says of the family: Transfer RNA (tRNA) molecules are approximately 80 nucleotides in length. Their secondary structure includes four short double-helical elements and three loops (D, anti-codon, and T loops). RNAcentral also lists the same sequence under 2 other names. The record is from RNAcentral. Lineage: Bacteria; Pseudomonadati; Fibrobacterota.